This 714-nucleotide ribosomal RNA is filed under the name uncultured Rhizopogon. RNAcentral describes it as "eukaryotic LSU rRNA". The stretch from base 248 to 402 matches the Rfam family "5.8S ribosomal RNA". Lineage: Eukaryota; Fungi; Basidiomycota; Agaricomycetes; Boletales; Rhizopogonaceae. The record is from RNAcentral.
GAAGUCUUGGAUCNUUUAUUAGGAAGUAAGCGGAGGAGCAUAUCACUAAGCGGAGGAACUCUUGGAUNNUUNAGAGGAAGUCAUCGGUAUUUAUCAUAUCACUAGGNGGANGAANGUUUGAUGCNUCACAGNANGNAGGGGGGACCUAUGUCUUCNNAACGUCGGUCGUGUAGAAAGUCUUUGAAUGUUUACUAUCAUCGAGUCGCGACUUCUAGGAGACGCGAUUCUUUGAGAUAAAAGUUAUUACAACUUUCAGCAACGGAUCUCUUGGCUCUCGCAUCGAUGAAGAACGCAGCGAAAAGCGAUAUGUAAUGUGAAUUGCAGAUCUACAGUGAAUCAUCGAAUCUUUGAACGCACCUUGCGCUCCUCGGUGUUCCGAGGAGCAUGCCUGUUUGAGUGUCAGUAAAUUCUCAACCCCUCUCGAUUAGCUUCGAGAGGGCGCUUGGAUAGUGGAGGUUGCCGGAGACUUGGAUUCGUCCGAGACUCGGGCUCUUCUGAAAUGCAUCGGCUUGCGGUCGACUUUCGACUAUGUGCGACAAGGCUUUCGGCGUGAUAAUGAUCGCCGUUCGCUGAANCGCAUGACCGAACGUCCCGUGCCUCUAAUACGUCGACCGCUUAUUAUCUCUCCGGAGAGAACAGGGUCUUCCUUAUUGACUUUUGACCUCAAAUCAGGUAGGACUACCCGCUGAACUUANGCAUAUCAAUAAGCGGACG